GCUGACCUUAGUGCAGCUACGGUAUGUUGUAGCUAUGGCGACUACAACCGGCUCCUAUGGAUUUGUAGGAGUUCAUGUGGGAGUGGGGUCUUAUUCUGCUGCAAAUGAGGAUGAAUAUAAAGAUGCUUGCAGAGAUGCCUGUUUGAAGGCAGUAGAUGUUUUAAAAGAUGGCAAAUCAGCAGUUGAAGCUGUUGCANUUGCUUUGGGAGUACUGGAGGAANCACCAUGUACCAAUGCAGGUCUUGGCAGUAAUCUGAACAUGAAUGGUGAUGUAGAAUGUGAUGCAAGUAUAAUGGAUGGCAANUCAUUGGGUUUUGGUGCUAUCGGUGCUGUGAAAGGUGUUAGAAACCCCAGUCAAGUUGCUUAUCAAUUACUAAUUGAAGAAUGUCAAGGACCAUCACAAGCAGGCCUGGUACCACCAGUAUUUCUUGUAGGUGAAGGUGCUACAGAUUGGGCCAAACNCCACUCUNUUGACAUAGUCCCAAACACAUCACUCAUCACUGAUAAAAGUCGUUCAGCUUUCAAUAAAAACAGGGCAAAACUCUAUGAUGAAGCCAUAUCUGAAGGUGAAGAUACUCCCAAAAAGAAGCGNAGGCUUGAAGACCUGUGUUCUUAUGAAGAUGGAUGCAUGGAUACUGUUGGUGUAGUAUGUAUGGACAUAAAUGGUAAUGUUAGUGCUGGGGCGUCAAGUGGUGGAAUGUUAUUAAAAACUCCAGGCCGAGUAGGACAGGCAGCAGUAUUUGGUAGUGGUUGUUGGGCUAAGAACAGUNAGGAGACAAGCGUGGCAUGCUGUACAACAGGUUGUGGAGAGUACUUGAUCAAGACAAUGCUUGCAAAAGAAUGUGCNGAGUUAGCUUUUAGGAUGGAACAAAUGCAGUUAAUGAUGCCUUGCAGGAGAGGUUUCUUGAUUCAUCCCUUUUAUCAAAUGAUGAAAGGCANAAGCUAGCAGGAGUUGUUCUUUUGAGGGCUUCAGGCAUAAAGGAUCAUGAGAUAGAAUUUGUCUGGGGACAUAAUGCCUCAAGCCUGUGUGUAGGUUACAUGUCAACAGAUCACCAAAAACCGAAGGUCCGUAUUUCAAGAUCUACAUCUUUUGACUAUCACAAGCUCAACCCUAUACUUAUUGAA
Molecule: unclassified non-coding RNA, 1125 nt
Filed under: Exaiptasia diaphana
Lineage: Eukaryota; Metazoa; Cnidaria; Anthozoa; Actiniaria; Aiptasiidae
Description: threonine aspartase 1, transcript variant X1
Source: RNAcentral